ACUGUUUUAACUGUCAGCGAACGAGCAUUAAUCCUUUUUAGUUACCUUGUCUUGUGGCUACAUUUUUUUGUUCGACUAUUAAGAAUGUUGUUGUACAACAUGGAACACAUCAAUUUGUUGCUUUAACUGUACACGAAGAAGAAGCCAUUGGAUGUUAAACGAGCUCACGAGUGAAGUAAUAAUUACAUGUUACUAAUUAUAGCGUAUUUAUGGGGUAUAGCAAAUUGAUUAUUAAAUUCAAUUAAUUUUCAUUUUUCACGCCUGGUUAAUAUUGAAUCGGAACUAUUGAUCCUGUUUCGUAAAUAUUUUUUUUUGGGAUUAUAGAAAAAUAAAAAAAUUAUCUCGUAGAUCAGGUAGAUACUGAUAGCAUUGUCGUCGAGAAUAAACCGCUAUAUCUUCUAUACAGUCUCAUCAGCUAGUGACAAUUGGUGGGAAAUGAAGCGUGUUAUGAAGUAUUUCGUUUAAACGAUCCAGAAAUCAAGUUUACGGAAACGACAGGAAGAGGAAUCAAAGAAAACCGGAAAAGGUUUAACAACAUUUCGAGCACGUAGACACACGGCCAAUUAUAAUUGCGGUUUGAUGUUUUUGGCGUUCGUAGUCGAAGCCAUCGUCGGCUGACUAUGCUUCGUUCUUCGUUUCUUUGAAACGACUUGACUCGUACAGACAAGGAUAAGAACAUAGCCUUAGAAUAGCCUAUGAAGAGUGAAUCUAACGGUAAAUCUGCGACCGGAAGUUACCUGCCCGGGCACCGCGUCGUCGUCUUCGUCGUCGUCGUCGUUUCCAAAGCCAAAGGACUUUAACCUCGGACUUGACGAGGUUACUAUUUGUGGCUAUAGCUAGACUACUGUGUCGACAGCACUUAAUAUCGUAUGUUCAAUAAAAGUUUAUAGAGGGGGAUACAAUUUUAUUUUUUUCUUAUAUUUUAUUGAUUGCUGAUUAAUUAAAGUUACAUAAAUUCUA
This is a long non-coding RNA of Onthophagus taurus, 960 nucleotides long. RefSeq lists it as uncharacterized. The record is from RefSeq and is a predicted model, not a curated record. Lineage: Eukaryota; Metazoa; Arthropoda; Insecta; Coleoptera; Scarabaeidae.